UAGGCACAGACAGCUUUCUCAUCAAAUCCUGCCAACCCAGCAAUUUUAUCAGAAGCCUCAGCACCCACUUUUCAAGAUGGAAGUUUAUAUCCAAGACUGUAUCCUGAACUUUCCCAGUAUAUGGGCCUGAGCCUGAGUGAAGAGGAGAUACAUAGAAACUUGUCAGUGGUUCCUGCUGCUGAUUCUCAGGGGCUUGUUGCAAGACCUUCUGCGGUGAAUUAUAUGGUGGCUCCAGUAACUGGAAGUGAUGUUGGAAUUCGUCGAGCAGAAAUUAAACAAGGGAUCCGUGAAAUAAUCUUGUGUAAAGAUCAGGAUGGAAAAAUCGGGCUUCGUCUUAAAUCGGUAGACAAUGU
This is a long non-coding RNA of Gekko japonicus, 353 nucleotides long. RefSeq lists it as uncharacterized. Lineage: Eukaryota; Metazoa; Chordata; Lepidosauria; Squamata; Gekkonidae. The record is from RefSeq and is a predicted model, not a curated record. The transcript has 3 exons.